AAGAUAGAAAAAGGCUGAAAACACAAUAAGAACAGAAAAUAGAUUAGAUAAUGAUUCAGCACAAGUAGAAAUAAAGAAAGAAUUGACAGUAAGAAAUUAAAAGAUAAGUCCUAAGAAGCCUUGAAAUCUCGAAAGAUUUCACAACUCCCUUCAAACGGCUCUAAUCUCCCCUCCAAAGAAUAUCAAUGGCAAGAAGAAGGUUGAAGAUGGCUCCCACAAUCACAAGAUUGUUAAAACAACUUCUAAAGAAAACUCAAGAGAAAAAUCUUGGAGAAAACUCAAAGAAAAUUCUGCUCUCAACAAAUCUGAAAUUUUAAUAAUAAUGAUAAGUGUUUAACAAGGUGGACAGCCAUGUCUUUAAAUAGGCCUUAUAACUAGUCCUAAUCUAAUUAGAAAACUAAAAUAAAAAAAAUUUCUAAUUAUUUUAAUAUGAAAAUUCGGUCAAAGGUCAUUUUAUCUAGGACUCUUGGACUGAAUAUUGAUAUAAAAAUUUAAACUAAGUAAAUAAAUAAAUAAAUAAAUAAAAAUAAAAAUAAAACUUUACAACUUGGGCCACUUUGACAAUUUGGCCUGAUUUUCAACUAAGUAUGGAUGGAUUUCUUGAUUAGGCUGGGAAUUUACUUAUUGGGCCUCGCCUUCAAGAAUUUGGGCUUUUGUGACUCGUAUCAUUCCCCCCUUCCUCAAAAAGAUUCGUCCUCGAAUCUGAAAAAUCAAAUGAACUCGACUUUCCUCUAUCGAACGAGACUAAUGGCAAUUGAGUCCACUGAAAAGAAUAGCCAUGAGAUAGUAAAUAGCAACGAAAACAAGCUUGUAAUCCAAUCAUAAGCAUAACAGACAGGUAUAACGCAUGUGAAUGGACAGAUUCAGAUUACCAUGCAAACAAUCUAAUUUACUCACCACUGCCUCGUCAAAUAUUUGAAACAAAGAUGGACAUGUUUUAAGGCAUUCAGUCGUCUCACAUUGUUCCCACAAACCAUAAAUAAAUUGCGAGUAAUAAAUCAAAUGGUAAACAUAAUCGUCACAAGUAGGUAUUUGAAAAGAUUCACAUGGUUCACAGAGUUGCAUAAUCAUACCAUGCAUUAAUCGACGGUCUAUAGAUUCACUCACAUGAUUAUCAAAAACAAGAAUUUUUUUAUCAACCAUCAAAACAGAUAGAUCAUCAAUAAAUAAAAUAGGACAGUCAAGCACGUUUUGAUCUAAGUGUUCAUCAACACGAUCUUUAUCACUAUCCGAGGAGUACAAAAGUGUUUCAAAGGUUUCAAGCAUCUUACCUCGAUAAGCAGAAGAAUAAUGGUCGAUUUUACCUUUUUCAUUUAAAACAAACCUUCGCUCAUUGGGGGCAUAGUGUAGUCGAAUCUUCGUUGUUGAGUUAACGUUUGUCAAAUGGAACUCAAACUUCAUGUACAACCACAUAAAUUAUUUAAGGCACGAAUAUAAAUUGAAAACAAAUUUGGAAAAUUUCGUUACCUUAUUCUCCAAAACAGAUUUGGACAAAUUCAAGGAUUUUACACAAGGUAAAUCAAGAGAAUAACAAAUCACGCUUCUUUUCGUAAUGACUUUAUCAACCACAAUCGAAGAGUAACAAUUAAUCGGAUCAAAAUGAGGGGAUCUUUUAAGAACUAAGUCACCAAAAGUUAUAUCAAUAAUUUUUAAAUCUGCACUGGACUCGGUUUCUAAAAUUUCCUUACCUCGCUUACUUUCGGGAUCAUGUAGUGUGAUUUCAUCUUUGCCUAAGUUGAUCGUAUGAAAGCGUCUUUCAUUUGAGAGGUAUUGAAGUUGAAAGUUAUCUUUCGAUCUUUCAGGAACCUGAAAAGUAGCAACACAAGAAAAAUUCAUAUCUUGGUUAGUGGAAACAUUCCUCACUAGCCUUUCCUCGUCUUUUUCUUUUGUUUCUUUUUCUAACUCAUUUUCUCUUCUUUCUUCAACUUCUUUUUCAAAUUUCUUUUCUGUUUCACAUUCCUUUUCACUCUCAAUCUCUUUUUGCUCUUUUUCAUUCUUUUUUUCUUUUUCCUUAUUUGUUUUAACAGAAUUUCUCAGUUUGAUUUGGUCCUCAUGGACUUGUUCCGGAGUGAGCGGCACUAAGGUAAGUUUCUUUCCUUGAUGCUUGAAAGAAUACCUAUUGGUACGACCAUUGUGAGUGACUUUUCGAUCCAGUUGCCAUGGUUCUCCUAGCAAUAAAUGGCAGGCUUGAAUAGGUACUACGUCGCACACGACUUCGUCUUGAUAUUUACCGAUAGAAAAGGCGAUGCGCACUUGUUGAGUGACCUUAAAUUGGCUUUCGUUGCUAAGCCCUUGUAGUUGAUAAGGUCGUGGAUGCUUGGUAGUGGUUAAGCAAAGCUUUUCCACCAUCGUCGUGCUGGCUACGUUCGAGCAACUUUCACCAUCAAUAAUAACUCUACAAAGCUUAUCUUGUACAUGGCAGCGAGUAUGAAAGAGAUGUUCUCGUUGCUGCUCGCUCUUUGGUUUUGCCAAAGAGGGUUGUCCACGAUCAUGAAAAUUAUCAUCCAUUCUAGUGACACGUCGAGGGUCGCGCCUCUGGGGUUGGUUAUCCCUAUCUUCUUUGAUUGGAUUUCGAUAUUGAGGUUCUUGAUUCAAUUGCACCUCAUUGAUGGUAGCAGUCAAAGCUCGAAGAGCAGCAGCCUGUUCAUCCAACUGUUGUUGGAAUUUUUAAAAUAUGUCACUAUUAUUAUCACCUGUAGACUUUUUUUAAAACCUGCAAAACACUUAACACUCAAAAAUAAAAGUUAUCAAACCUCACCGUUAAUCACUCAAAAAGAAAAAAUUAAAUUCUCAAUGAGGUCGAAUUCAAUCUUGUGAGUUCUUUAUCAGAGUUUAUAUCAACCAAUUAGAGAGUGUGAACCAAACUACCAAAGAAUCCUAAUUUGCACUAGGAUGCCAAAAACUGACGAGACACCAAUUGAUUCGUGUUGCACCGAGGAAGUUGUGCACACGCUUAAAUCCUACUAACACAAGAACCAAGAAGGUGUUAGAUAACAUAAAGGAAGAAUAAAUGUAAACAAAUGAAAACCUACAGCUAAGAAUAAAUAAAAAUUGCUGAAAACAGAAAACCCGAAAAAUUGCGGAGUAACUUGACAACUUCGUUCGAGGUGUUCCCGAUCUCCAAAAAUCACGAAAUUAAAUCUGGAGUGUCCUUAUAUAUUGAAUUUUUGAUCUGGAAAUUUUGGGCACCAAAUUCAACCCGCUGAAUCUUUUUUUUAAAAUUUUUAUUGAAUUUCGUCUUUUUUGAUUUGUUUGACUUUUUGACUGAUUUUUUUGCGGGAAUAAUUUUUUUAUAUUCAAUCAAAGUGCCAAAAACAUGUAUGUAAAAUUUCAGAUCAAUCGGACAACGUUUACCCACUCAAAUGAAUUUUUUUGAACAAUUUUUCUGGGUAAAACUGCUGUUUAUGCUUUAAAAAAUAGAGAUCAGUUUAGAAAUCAACCAAGAACACCCAAAACGCCCAAAAUCUGAUACCAAAUGAUACGGGGUUGCGCGCGGACCAAGAUCGAGUUGCCAAGUCACGAGAAACUCCUACGAAAACCCUAAACAAUUAGAUCUGAAACGAAACAGAAAAUUAAAAGAUUAGAUUUUUAAAUUUUCAGAUCUAAAAUAAAAUCCCCAAAUCAGCAAAGAAUCAAAUUGAGAAUAGAAAUAAGUGUUAGGGUUCUUAAAACCCUCAAGGAGAUUGUGAUUCUGCCCAAUUGAACACCAAGAUAGUUUUCUCCAAAUUUCGACAAUCUAAUUUCACCCAAAAAGAGUAUGGAAAAACCCUAGAAAUUGGGGAUUUUUGAGCUGAUUCUUUAAGAUAGAAAAAGGCUGAAAACACAAUAAGAACAGAAAAUAGAUUAGAUAAUGAUUCAGCACAAGUAGAAAUAAAGAAAGAAUUGACAGUAAGAAAUUAAAAGAUAAGUCCUAAGAAGCCUUGAAAUUCCGAAAGAUCUCACAACUCCUUUCAAACGGUUCUAAUCUCCCCUCCAAAGAAUAUCAAUGGCAAGAAGAAGGUUGAAGAUGGCUCCCACAAUCACAAGAUUGUUAAAACAACUUCUAAAGAAAACUCAAGAGAAAAAACUUGGAGAAAACUCAAAGAAAAUUCUGCUCUCAACAAAUCUGAAAUUUUAAUAAUAAUGAUAAGUGUUUAACAAGGUGGACAGCCAUGCCUUUAAAUAGGCUUUAUAACUAGUCCUAAUCUAAUUAGAAAACUAAAAUAAAAAAA
This 4211-nucleotide long non-coding RNA is filed under the name Gossypium barbadense (sea-island cotton). Its description in RNAcentral is "long non-coding RNA (GBAR_LNC020135)". The record is from RNAcentral. Lineage: Eukaryota; Viridiplantae; Streptophyta; Magnoliopsida; Malvales; Malvaceae.